This 526-nucleotide long non-coding RNA is filed under the name Brassica rapa (field mustard). RNAcentral's name for it is "long non-coding RNA (BRAP_LNC000867)". Lineage: Eukaryota; Viridiplantae; Streptophyta; Magnoliopsida; Brassicales; Brassicaceae. The record is from RNAcentral.
UUGCUUUAUUUAUUCAUACAGAAUUAUGUAUUUAAAUACAUGUUUUUGCAUAUGUUUUUUUGUUUUUGUUUGCAUAUGUUGAAGCUAAUAGUUCAUAGAAAAAGGCAGGUUAUACUUUUUCACGUAGCAUUGAAAGAUUGAAUAUUUCAAGUUGAUUAAUUUGCAACUCCACGACUUGACUGGUUAUUUGAUUUCAUAAAAAAAAAGGUUUCAUAUGUAGCAGCAUGGUGGUGACUCAUGAAAGUCAAAUGGAAGGGUGAAUUGGAUUCCUUCAUCGGUAGAGUUUUUGAAUUAGUCGUACAUAUCUCAAGUAAUACCCUCCUCGGGUAAGUAUUAUAUGGAUGAGUUAGAAGAUGUUUUGUGUUACAUCAUCGACGUGAGAGUAUCUAAUUAAUUAAAUAAACUUACAAGUGGUCUUAUGUCUUUAGGAAGCAGCUCAAUUAAUCAUGGCAAUUUCUCUUCUUCUUUUUCCGAUUGUUACUAAGCAGAACCCACAUAGCAAUUAUAUCAUGCCUUUUGCUUUGAC